Molecule: ribosomal RNA, 112 nt
Filed under: uncultured bacterium
Lineage: Bacteria
Description: partial 16S ribosomal RNA
Rfam family: Bacterial small subunit ribosomal RNA
Source: RNAcentral
CCCGGGCCUUGUACACACCGCCCGUCAAGUCAUGAAAGUCGGUAACACCCGAAGCCGGUGGCCCAACCCAUUUGGGAGGGAGCUGUCGAAGGUGGGACUGGCGAUUAGGACU